Long non-coding RNA from Carassius gibelio (silver crucian carp), 1667 nucleotides. RefSeq lists it as uncharacterized. The record is from RefSeq and is a predicted model, not a curated record. NCBI's taxonomy places the organism in Eukaryota, Metazoa, Chordata, Actinopteri, Cypriniformes, Cyprinidae. The transcript has 2 exons.
GAGGAGCUGUUCUGAAUCUGUUUGCUUUGACAUUCUGAGCAGAAGUAAUCCAAACAGGAGUUCAGUGAAUGGACAAACCCUGGGGCAUCUUGCAACCUGAUGCUUGUUUGUCUUCUUAAGCUAGCAGUCCUACUGCUUCUACAUCAACUGGCGAGGCAGCUUGGAAGAAUCUCUGAGUACUCCCCGUACAAUGAGCACAGCACAAACAAAAGAUAUCGUGGUGUCUCUGUAUCCACAUCAGCGCCCAGGAUCUGUGCUGAAGAGAUCUCUGUGGCGGUACACACAUCUCACUGACGAGGGCUGGCAGAACGGAUGCUUCCUGGACAAACAGCGCCUUCUGCUGGGCAGCCUGGUACUGCUGGCCCUGUGUGGCAUGGUGCUGCUUCUGUUGUGGAACUACCAGUGCUUCAUUGUUAACCACAUGUGCCAGGACCCAGAGCAUAGUUCGGAGUAUGUGCUGUUUGAUAUGGAUCAGCAAAUGCUUUCUUCAUAUGGCCAAGCCUGAAGCUGUGAUGCUGUAUAAAGCAGCUUAUAAAGACUGUUCCAAAGGGCACACAGAGACUGAGGUUGGGGGGAGAGAAACAGGGUUUAUAAAAUGCACAGAGCCCUAUAUCUACUUUUGAGAUAUUCAUUUUAUCUUUAACCUGACACACAAACACACACACGCACACGCACACACACACACACACACACACACACACACACACACAUAUAUAUAUAUAUAUAUAUAUAUAUAGGCUGCAGUAAUGUAUAGUGAAUCAUUAGUAGCACUUGUAGACAUAUGAAUAUAAAUUGGAAUGUAAAUAGUUGUUGAAUUAUAAUAGCUCUGUUCAAUGAUUCAUAUUGUCUGUGGUUAUAAUUUGUGUUUACAUCGCAUAAGGCAUGCACUUAAAUUUUAAAUAAAUCCUCCUGGCACACAAGCAGUCAUUUUCUAUGACAUAUAUAUGCAUCUACUCAUGGUUUCCGAUACAUUUUCUGCACUGCAGUAUGAGCGAAGUGCAACAAUGGUCAUGUUACACACCUUUGAUGUUUUUGCAAUUUGUUUACAAUCCUGGUGACUUUUUUUUUUUUUUUUUGCAGAAUCCAGAGAUAAGCGUUUUCUUGUUUGACGCAACACAACCUGCCAUGUAGCCCAGUUUCAGCACUUCACAGACAUCUGCACUUCAGACAGCGUAAACCACACAUUCAAAAAAUGAAAAAACAAAAACAGAAGCCAUUGUAGCUUUCAUCAAAGCAUGAACUUUAUACAAUGCACAGCUUCCAAGUAUGAGUGCAAAUGGCUGUCAGACACAAAAUGCAGUGAGGUUUUUGUGAUAAAAGUUGACAAAAUAGACUAGUGGGGGCAGUUGUCACAGGCGUGUUUUCACAAGGGUUAUAUCUCAGUAAAUAAAAGUUAGAUUUAGAAGUUUGUGUGUGUGUGUGCUCUUUUAAGAAGCAGUUUACAAAUGGAGAUCAAAAUGUUCUAUAAAUAGCUACUUGAUUUUCUCUGAAAUUUUGUUAAUCUUCUUCACCACUCAAAAUGUGAAGGAAUAUAAGCUGCAUGUAGAAUAAUUCUGUGAAUUUUGUCUUCCUAAGUAAAAUUAUAAUAUUAUAAUCAUAUAAUCAACCACACUAGUAUACUGUACAUUUACAGAAUUCAACUAUAUAAUAAAGGUGGAUUUUAAAUC